CAGUCGCCGCGGGAAUACGUAGGGUGCAAGCGUUGUCCGGAAUUAUUGGGCGUAAAGAGCUCGUAGGCGGUUUGUCGCGUCUGCUGUGAAAUCCCGAGGCUCAACCUCGGGCUUGCAGUGGGUACGGGCAGACUAGAGUGCGGUAGGGGAGAUUGGAAUUCCUGGUGUAGCGGUGGAAUGCGCAGAUAUCAGGAGGAACACCGAUGGCGAAGGCAGAUCUCUGGGCCGUAACUGACGCUGAGGAGCGAAAGCGUGGGGAGCGAACAGGAUUAGAUACCCGCGUAGUCCCUGUCUCUUAUAC
Molecule: ribosomal RNA, 301 nt
Filed under: uncultured bacterium
Lineage: Bacteria
Description: partial 16S ribosomal RNA
Rfam family: Bacterial small subunit ribosomal RNA
Source: RNAcentral